RNAcentral lists this unclassified non-coding RNA (330 nucleotides) under uncultured fungus. Its description in RNAcentral is "partial contains 5.8S ribosomal RNA and internal transcribed spacer 2". The stretch from base 1 to 133 matches the Rfam family "5.8S ribosomal RNA", at positions 22 to 154 of the family's 154-position model. Lineage: Eukaryota; Fungi. The record is from RNAcentral.
UGGUUCUGGCAUCGAUGAAGAACGCAGCGAAAUGCGAUAAGUAAUGUGAAUUGCAGAAUUCAGUGAAUCAUCGAAUCUUUGAACGCACAUUGCGCCCUUUGGUACUCCGAAGGGCAUGCCUGUUCGAGCGUCAUUUCAAACCCUCAAGCGUUAGCUUGGUAUUGGGCCUAUCAUCCUGUUAAAGGGAUGUGCCUGAAACCCGUUGGCAGUAGCGCCCAGCUUCUUUGCGUAGUCAUAUUAUUUCGCUCUGAAGUUCUAGGUGGUGCCCGCCUAACAACCCCCCCUUUUAUUCUAUGGUUUGACCUCGGAUCAGGUAGGAAUACCCGCUGA